RNAcentral lists this ribosomal RNA (441 nucleotides) under uncultured bacterium. RNAcentral's name for it is "partial 16S ribosomal RNA". It matches the Rfam family "Bacterial small subunit ribosomal RNA", at positions 338 to 795 of the family's 1533-position model. The record is from RNAcentral.
CCUACGGGUGGCAGCAGUGGGGAAUCUUGGGCAAUGGGCGCAAGCCUGACCCAGCAACGCCGCGUGAAGGAAGAAGGCUUCGGGUUGUAAACUUCCUUUUAGAGGGAAGAGCCGAAGACGGUACCUCUUGAAUAAGCCACGGCUAACUACGUGCCAGCAGCCGCGGCAAUACGUAGGUGGCAAGCGUUGUCCGGAUUUACUUGGUGAAAAGGGCGUGCAGCCGGGAAGCCAAGUCAGAUGUGAAAGCCCGCGGCUCAACCGCGGAACUGCAUUUGAAACUGUUAUUCUUGAGUACCGGAGAGGUCAUGGGAAUUCCUUGUGUAGCGGUGAAAUGCGUAGAUAUAAGGAAGAACACCAGUGGCGAAGGCGGAUGACUGGACGGCAACUGACGGUGAGGCGCGAAAGCGUGGGGAGCAAACAGGAUUAGAUACCCUUGUAGUC